AGAUCUCUGUCCUGCAGACUGGGUGCCUUUUAAUGAGAAGUGUUACUAUUUCUCAGGAACGAAAUUAACUGCAGACGAUAACUUGGAGUUCUGUAAAACGAUGAAUUCCACAGCUCUAAGAGAUGACAACGAAGAGGUUCAUGUUUUCCUCAAAGCUGAAUUAACAAGAAGGGGUUUCAAUAAUGUGUGGCUUGCUGCCAAUGACAAAGCUGUAGAGAACGAAUGGGUUUGGGGCCCUGGCGAUGCAGUAUUGAAUUCAGCAUGGUACCCUACUGAACCAAAUAAUCAAAACGACGAAGACUGUGUCAUCCUUGGCCUUAUAUACCCUGGGUGGCAUGACUGCUCAUGUUCCGGAAGGCUUAGCCAUUCUGCAUGCGAAAUACAGUUAGCCUAAGACUGAUGACCACGGGACCACCAUCUCAAUCUAGGGAUGAUCGAGUGUGAAUUGUGUCAAACUCAGCCUUUGGAUGACUUGAUACUGAUUGCGCCAUUGGAAUCGCAGGUUAGGUUUUGUGAACCACAUAAAAAACGCUUUGUUGAUGUCAUACCUAAAAGCAGCAUUUUGAAAUUAGAGCGAGCAAACGAACGAACGAACGAACGAACGAAGGAAGGGAGGGAGGAACGAACGAACGAUUUUUUUUUAUAGUUAUUAUCACCAAAUACCUUAUUUCAUUGUUUAAAUCUUCAAUCCUGUGAAAAAUACUCAUACAGUAGUUUUGUUUUAUUUGAUUUGUUUGUUUGGUGUUUUUUUUCAAUGGAAAGGAAGCUACUAUUUUUCACAUCUGGAGAUGUCUUUUGCAGGCUUUCUGUAUAUUAUUUUAUGUAAAAAUAGGAAACAUGUUUUUCCUGGUUAACACACAAAUGCUAGAUACAAAUGAACAUUCAAAAGAAUAAUAUAGUCUAGUGUUCAAUGAUCCCGGCAAUACACAAAUUGAUAGAACAUACAGCAUCCGAUUUGUUAACGAAAAUGUGUAAAUAUACUGUAUGUGAACUUAAGCUGGAAAUCUGCAGGUUAUCUGAAAUUAAUCUUUGCAUUCCGCGGGAAAUACACCUGCACACGCAGGAUCCGACACCCUCUGUUUUCCGUUGUCUCCGUCAGUUGUAGUAGCAGGUAUCAUACAUUUUACCAUGAAUCCAAACAAGCUGGUCCUCAACAAUCGUAGCCACAGACAGCGAAUGCUCAUCACGAUGGACUUUCAGGUAAUGUUGUGACGCUUGACAAACUACACCUAGCAGUUUCCCCUCCUCACUAUUUAUUCCGGAGAACAAAACGCAUGACUUUUUGAUAGACUGGAUUACCUACCAUAGUUUCUUCUACUAUCCACUAGGCUUUGCUUCGAAAAUACAACACGAGCUCAGGCUAGACGAGAGAUAUGUUGCUAAUGCAGGUAAUCCAGUCUUAGAUUUUUGACAUACAUUAUUACUACACCUAGAUUACUAAAUUACCUGGACUGGAGUGUUUUAAUCUCUAGUAUCCAUGAUCGACAGAUCAGGGCAUCUACUGGAGCGAAAUACACAAUGUAUGUCAUUCCCAAACACAAGACGAGGACAUUUAGAAAUUAGUACAAUGGCCUAGGACUUUAGAAUGGGUUACCAGACAAUGUUAGGCAGUGCCAAAUCCCACCAAAUUUUAGGCUGGAAUGCAAGAAGCAUACGUUAAAUUUUAUCACGUGAAAUUAUCACUGCCUGGAAGUUUUAGAAGUGCAUUAUUACUGUCUUAGUAUUGUAUUUUCAUUUCAUUAUUGUAUUUAUGUAACAUUCAACGCCUAACUUUGAUAUUUAUUUAAACAUAUGGCAUAAUAUUGAUAUAAACUGUAUGUAUAUCAAAUGUGUUUUAUACAAAUCAUAGAACAACUUUAUUGUGACAUCUUUUACGAUAUGCUUCUUUAAUUUACCUACUGUGAUAUCAAUGUUUGUAUGUGAUGCUUUAAUUUUACAUGUUGUAAACAUUGCUUGUUGAUAGUGUCGACAACUUGGAAGAAGAGUCUUGUUACUGUCAU
Molecule: long non-coding RNA, 2000 nt
Organism: Pecten maximus
Lineage: Eukaryota; Metazoa; Mollusca; Bivalvia; Pectinida; Pectinidae
Exons: 3
Source: RefSeq, a predicted model, not a curated record